Molecule: non-coding RNA, 147 nt
Filed under: Ditylum brightwellii
Lineage: Eukaryota; Bacillariophyta; Thalassiosirophyceae; Lithodesmiales; Lithodesmiaceae
Source: RNAcentral
AAAUGGAUUCUGUAACUGAAACGCUCGCACUUGUGUUCACGCCGGCAAUUAAUCCAAUCGUCCUCGUUUGAUUUGAGGACUAAACGUGAUAGAAGAAUAGUAUACAUGUUUCAUAUAUAAAGUAAAGAUAAUUCUCAACUGUGUUAA